This 433-nucleotide ribosomal RNA is filed under the name uncultured bacterium. RNAcentral describes it as "partial 16S ribosomal RNA". It matches the Rfam family "Bacterial small subunit ribosomal RNA", at positions 28 to 507 of the family's 1533-position model. The record is from RNAcentral.
GGUGAACGUUGGCGGUGCGUCUAAUACAUGCAAGUCGAGCGAGGCUUCGAGCCGAGCGGCAGACGGCUGAGUAACACGUUGGUAACUACCUCAAACUCAGGGAUAGCGCCGAGAAAUCGGUGCUAAUACCGGAUGGUCCCGUAAGGGUAAAGUUUUUACGGUUUGAGAGGUGCCUGCGUCCUAUCAGGUAGUUGGUGAGGUAACGGCUCACCAAGCCUAUGACGGGUAACUGGUCUGAGAGGAUGACCAGUCAGAGGGAAACUGAGACACGGUUCCCACUUCUACGGAAGGCAGCAGUAAAGAAUCUUCCACAAUGGACGAAAGUCUGAUGGAGCGACACCGCGUGCAGGAUGAAGGCCCUUGGGUCGUAAACUGCUUUUUUGGGGGAAAAAUUCUGAUUGUACCCUAAGAAUAAGCACCGGCAAAUCACGUG